UACGUAGGUGGCAAGCGUUGUCCGGAAUUAUUGGGCGUAAAGAGCGUGUAGGCGGUCAGGUAGGUCCGUUGUGAAAACUCGAGGCUCAACCUCGAGACGCCGAUGGAAACCAUCUGACUAGAGUCCGGAAGAGGAGAGUGGAAUUCCUGGUGUAGCGGUGAAAUGCGCAGAUAUCAGGAAGAACACCAAUGGCGAAGGCAGCUCUCUGGGACGGUACUGACACUGAGACGCGAAAGCGUGGGGAGCGAACAGG
RNAcentral lists this ribosomal RNA (253 nucleotides) under uncultured bacterium. Its description in RNAcentral is "partial 16S ribosomal RNA". It matches the Rfam family "Bacterial small subunit ribosomal RNA", at positions 524 to 776 of the family's 1533-position model. The record is from RNAcentral.